AAAAAGAGAUCCCUAGACUAAAAAGGGGCUAAGCGCCGUUUUUUAGGAGACCCCCACCCCAUCCCCACAUCGUCUUCUUCUCCAGAGGACUUAGAGCAGCCUAGAGCCAUUUUUCAUCAUCUUCACUCAUCCUAAUUUCUAAAAAAAAAAUACCUGUAGCAUCUUCCCCCGUGGAAACUAGCUAGCUUUACCUUCAACCCCCUUUUUUCUUCACUUAAAAAACCUUCACAAAUAGCAAUUACAUAACCUGAAAACAGUCCCUAAAAUAACUUCAAAACUAGCCAUAGAUCACCUGAAAAUCGGCUAAAAACCAGCCCCAAACUUUGCUAAAAACAACCAUGAACCAAGCUCCAAAAAUCGAGCUCUGUCGCACCAUUGAAACCAUCUAAGACGUGGGAAACAAUCCCUUUUGCACCAAAUCAGCAGCUCCAAAGGUGAGUUCGCAGUUGCGUUCGAGCCCCAUUCGAGUUCCCGAUGUUGCCCAGAUUCUCUGGUUCGAAGGGGAGGUUCCGCUCGUAGGUCCAAUUGGUAGCAACUCAUUUCAUUUUUGUGAAAAGCUCAUUUUGAGGUCCAGUUUCUACUCCCUUUGUUCUUUCUUUCAAAUUAUGUUUUAGUUGGUUAAAUAUUUCAGUUUGAUUAAGUAUGCCAUGCUCUAUUCUGAACUUUAAAUACCUUUUUGACUCCCUUUUUUGUAGUUAGGUUCCAUGUUUCAUGAUUUAUUUUACAUUAUAGUGGUUCAUAUUGGUUCAUUCUGUCGGAUUGCACUAAGGCAUUUAUUUCAUGAUACAGGUCAACCUUUUCUGUAAGAGACACUUACAUAUGUGAACGCUGGAAGACUCUUUCUUUGGCAAAGGUGAAUUAGCACAUCUAAUGCACAAUCAUGUCCUUUCUUCUUCAGAUUCUUGUUGUGAGACAAUUAGUACAUGUCAAUAGCCUUUUUCUGACUCCUGGAGUCAUAAAGAACAAGAUUACAUCUGGUAAUUGUGUUAAAUGACAUGCAAGUACUACAUAAUAAUGUUCUUCUCCUAUAUGUUCUCAAUCUCUGGUAUUGAUUUUAUUAGUGCAAAUCGAGUAGAAUGUCCCACCUAUAUUUAUAUUUUGGUUUAUAAAAUUGAUCAUGA
RNAcentral lists this long non-coding RNA (1121 nucleotides) under Nicotiana tabacum (common tobacco). RNAcentral's name for it is "long non-coding RNA (NTAB_LNC002326)". The record is from RNAcentral. Lineage: Eukaryota; Viridiplantae; Streptophyta; Magnoliopsida; Solanales; Solanaceae.